AUACUUACCUGGCAGGGGAGAUACCAUGAUCAAGAAUGUGGUUCACCCAGGGUGAGGCUCAGCCAUUGCACUACGGUUGUGCUGACCCCUGCGAAUUCCCCAAAUGUGGGAAUCUCGACUGCAUAAUUUCUGGUAGUGGGGGACUGCGUUUGCGCUCUCCCCUG
Small nuclear RNA from Pygocentrus nattereri (red-bellied piranha), 164 nucleotides. Its record names the gene U1. It matches the Rfam family "U1 spliceosomal RNA". From Rfam's summary of the family: U1 is a small nuclear RNA (snRNA) component of the spliceosome (involved in pre-mRNA splicing). Its 5' end forms complementary base pairs with the 5' splice junction, thus defining the 5' donor site of an intron. NCBI's taxonomy places the organism in Eukaryota, Metazoa, Chordata, Actinopteri, Characiformes, Serrasalmidae. The record is from Ensembl.